AAAUCGAAGAGAGGGUAAAGGAACAGUACCAUUGCUGGAUAAUUGGAAAGUCCCUGUGUGUCAACCUCUGUGCUUCGUGGCAAGGUAGACUAGCAAACAUGCCCAACCUUUACUCACAUUCGAGAAAACACUCCCAACAAGAUUGCUUGCUCCAAAAUCGAAGAGGCACCGCCCUCCGAAUCUCGAGAGCCAGACUCCCAACAUGAUUACUUUCUCAAAAAUCGAAGAGACACUGCUUCCCGAAUCUUCGAGAGCCAGACCCCCAGCAUGAUUGCUUUCUCAAAAAUUGAUGAGGCAUCGUUCUCCGAAUCAAUCGAAGAGGCGCUCGCUUUCUCAAAAGCUGGGCUGCUCAGAGACCACGAGGGCCGAUCUCAGAAAUCGAAGAGGCACCUACUUUUCUAGCCUUGUCAGCACCUGUCACACGCAACAAUAGCUCAUGGGUACCACAGAUAACUUUGCCAAAGUUCUCUGCCAAAGUUGAGCACGUGAAGCUUGCAGCUCCCACUACAUCGCUCUGACCAAGAAAGGUAAAAGAAUAGCAAAGAAACAGCACUAACAAAGUUUAGACACAUAAAUUUUGAAGGUCUAGCUACCAUAUUAUUACCCAUAAGGGUAAAGGAACAGUACCACUGCUGGAUAAUUGGAAAGUCCCUGUGUGUCAACCUCUGUGCUUCGUGGCAAGGUAGACUAGCAAACAUGCCCAACCUUUACUCACAUUCGAGAAAACACUCCCAAUAAGAUUGCUUGCUUCAAAAUCGAAGAGGCACCGUCCUCCGAAUUUCGGGAGCCAGACUCCCAACAUGACUACUUUCUCAAAAGCGAAGAGAGGGUAAAGGAACAGUACCAUUGCUGGAUAAUUGGAAAGUCCCUGUGUGUCAACCUUUGUGCUUUGUGGCAAGGUAGACUAGCAAACAUGCCCAACCUUUACUCACAUUCGAGACAACACUCCCAACAGGAUUGCUUGCUCCAAAAUCGAAGAGGCACUGCCCUCCGAAUCUCAAGAGCCAGACUCCCAACAUGAUUACUUCCUCAAAAAUCGAAGAGACACUGCUCUCCGAAUUUCGAGAGCCAGACCCCCAGCAUGAUUGCUUUCUCAAAAAUCGAAGAGGCAUCGUUUUCCGAAUCUCGAGAGCCAGAUACCACAGACCACUUUUUCAAAGUGCUCUGACAGAGUUAAAACAUGUGAAACUGGCAGCUCCCACUACCGUGCUAUGACCAAGCAGGG
This 1225-nucleotide long non-coding RNA is filed under the name Malus domestica (apple). Its description in RNAcentral is "long non-coding RNA (MDOM_LNC019398)". Lineage: Eukaryota; Viridiplantae; Streptophyta; Magnoliopsida; Rosales; Rosaceae. The record is from RNAcentral.